UAGUCUGGUGCCAGCAGCCGCGGUAAUUCCAGCUUCAAUAGCGUAUAUUAAAGUUGUUGCAGUUAAAACGCUCGUAGUCGGAUUUCGGGGCAGGUUUGCCGGUCUGCCGAUGGGUAUGCACUGGUAGAACUGUCCUUCCUUCCGGAGACGGCGCCUACUCUUAACUGAGCGGGUGUCGGAGACGGAUCGUUUACUUUGAAAAAAUCAGAGUGUUUCAAGCAGGCAGCUCGCUUUUGCAUGGAUUAGCAUGGGAUAAUGAAAUAGGACUUUGGUGCUAUUUUGUUGGUUUCGAACACCGAAGUAAUGAUUAACAGGGACAGUCAGGGGCACUCGUAUUCCGCCGAGAGAGGUGAAAUUCUUAGACCAGCGGAAGACGAACCACUGCGAAAGCAUUUGCCAGGGAUGUUUUCACUGAUCAAGAACGAAAGUUAGGGGAUCGAAGACGAUCAGAUACCGUCGUAGUCUUAACCAUAAACCAUGCCGACUAGGGAUUGGAGGAUGUUCCUAUGUGACUCCUUCAGCACCUUUCGGGAAACUAAAGUCUUUGGGUUCCGGGGGGAGUAUGGUCGCAAGGCUGAAACUUAAAGGAAUUGACGGAAGGGCACCACCAGGAGUGGAGCCUGCGGCUUAAUUUGACUCAACACGGGGAAACUUACCAGGUCCAGACAUUGUGAGGAUUGACAGAUUGAGAGCUCUUUCUUGAUUCUAUGGGUGGUGGUGCAUGGCCGUUCUU
This 733-nucleotide ribosomal RNA is filed under the name uncultured eukaryote. RNAcentral describes it as "SSU rRNA". It matches the Rfam family "Eukaryotic small subunit ribosomal RNA", at positions 557 to 1295 of the family's 1831-position model. The record is from RNAcentral.